RNAcentral lists this long non-coding RNA (706 nucleotides) under Homo sapiens (human). RNAcentral describes it as "long independently transcribed non-coding RNA 659 (LINC00659)". Lineage: Eukaryota; Metazoa; Chordata; Mammalia; Primates; Hominidae. The record is from RNAcentral.
GGCACCCCUGAAGGACCAUAUCCACUGUGGACCCCCUUGGGAUCAGCCGAGCUUUUCACACUCUCUGUUGCCCUUGUCCUUGGGCAUCUCAGUGACUCGAAGGAAUUGGGUCUUGAGACACAGCCGAGCCUGUGAGCGCUGACCUGUGUAAAGAAGACACCAGAAUGAGAUGUCUCCACACACAGAGAGCUGCAGCCGAUGCCGGCCGGUGACUUGGGACUUGGAUGCUUAACAGGAGGCUCCCCCUCUCUUGGGAGGUAGAGAGCAGUGAGGAAGGGGACUCAGCCUCCAUGCCUCCCGCCAGCCCAGCUGCGCCCGAAUCACCUCCCUCCUGAAAGGAUGUCAGCCUCUGCUUGGACACCGUGGAGACAGGGCCCUCCUUGUGCUUCAGAAGCAUCAACGUGUCAGAAAAUCAUCUUCACGCCAAGUCUGGAAAAAAUGGCUUUGAGGUUGUGCACACAAAGGAAGGAGGGAGAGCCCCAGGUGUCGCGGAGGACCAUGCGGCUGACAGAGCCAGCAGGGCGGUGGCGUGUGAGCCGUGCUCUGGAUAUAUAAGGAUCUGACGCUGCUGGCAAUGUCUGAGCUCUAUGCUCGCCCAUCUGUCGGCUGCUAUCAUCACCGGGUGGGAUUAGCGGAGAUCCACUCUUUCAUAUUUAAAUCUUCACAAGAGAAUGAAUCACUUUUAUAAUAAAAGAAAAAGACCGUC